AUACUUACCUGGCGCCGACCGUCCUCUGAUCAAGCAGAGAGGUGGUGGUCCAGGGCGAGGCCUCUGCAUUGCACUGCGCGGAGGUUGACCCCUGCGAUUUCUCCAAGUGAGAAACUCGGACGCACAAUUUAUUAGUGUGGGGACUGCGUUCGCGCUCUCCCUGA
This is a small nuclear RNA of Symsagittifera roscoffensis, 164 nucleotides long. RefSeq annotates it as U1 spliceosomal RNA. The record is from RefSeq and is a predicted model, not a curated record. NCBI's taxonomy places the organism in Eukaryota, Metazoa, Xenacoelomorpha, Acoela, Convolutidae. The transcript has a single exon.